This 371-nucleotide ribosomal RNA is filed under the name uncultured bacterium. RNAcentral's name for it is "bacterial SSU rRNA". It matches the Rfam family "Bacterial small subunit ribosomal RNA", at positions 527 to 896 of the family's 1533-position model. The record is from RNAcentral.
GUACGGUGCGAGCGUUAAUCGGAAUUACUGGGCGUAAAGUGUGCGCAGGCGGCUGAGCAAGUCGAGUGUGAAAGCCCCGGGCUUAACUUGGGAAUUGCGCUCGAAACUACUUGGCUGGAGUGUGGCAGAGGAAGGUGGAAUUCCACGUGUAGCGGUGAAAUGCGUAGAGAUGUGGAGGAACACCAAUGGCGAAGGCAGCCUUCUGGGCCAACACUGACGCUCAUGCACGAAAGCGUGGGGAGCAAACAGGAUUAGAUACCCUGGUAGUCCACGCCCUAAACGAUGACGACUAGUUGUUGGAGGAGUUAAAUCCUUUAGUAACGCAGCUAACGCGCGAAGUCGUCCGCCUGGGGAGUACGGUCGCAAGAUUA